UAGGGAAUCUUCGGCAAUGGACGAAAGUCUGACCGAGCAACGCCGCGUGAGUGAAGAAGGUUUUCGGAUCGUAAAACUCUGUUGUUAGAGAAGAACAAGGACGUUAGUAACUGAACGUCCCCUGACGGUAUCUAACCAGAAAGCCACGGCUAACUACGUGCCAGCAGCCGCGGUAAUACGUAGGUGGCAAGCGUUGUCCGGAUUUAUUGGGCGUAAAGCGAGCGCAGGCGGUUUCUUAAGUCUGAUGUGAAAGCCCCCGGCUCAACCGGGGAGGGUCAUUGGAAACUGGGAGACUUGAGUGCAGAAGAGGAGAGUGGAAUUCCAUGUGUAGCGGUGAAAUGCGUAGAUAUAUGGAGGAACACCAGUGGCGAAGGCGGCUCUCUGGUCAGUAACUGACGCUGAGGCUCGAAGGCGUGGGGGGCAAACAGG
RNAcentral lists this ribosomal RNA (429 nucleotides) under Gemmatimonadota bacterium. RNAcentral describes it as "Gemmatimonadetes bacterium partial 16S ribosomal RNA". It matches the Rfam family "Bacterial small subunit ribosomal RNA", at positions 355 to 776 of the family's 1533-position model. Lineage: Bacteria; Pseudomonadati; Gemmatimonadota. The record is from RNAcentral.